GGGCGUUGCGCUCCGGCCGCGAGCUGCGUCCUCUCCCCGGCUGCGGGCUGCGUCCUCGCCCCGGCUGCGGGCGUUGCGCUCCGGCCGCGAGCUGCGUCCUCUCCCCGGCCUCGGGCGUUGCGCUCCGGCCGCGAGCUGCGUCCUCUCCCCGGCCUCGGGCGUUGCGCUCCGGCCGCGAGCGGCGGGGUUCGCCCGGCGGCCACCGGCCGUUGAGUCUGGCCUGCGGCGGUGGAGGUGGGGACGCCGGCCGGGGGUCGCCCUUCUCGGGGCUGCGCGCCCAGGCCGGCGGGACGGCGAGGACUGCUCUCUCUCUCUGUGGUCCGUCCUGUCCCCCUCGGGUUUCUUCCUCCGCGUUGCAUUUCUCAACUUAUUUGAGCGAGUUUCUAAUGGCGGACUUGGAGAACUUCGCUGGUUUGUUGGGGAGAGAGGGCCCAUGACCACUGCUGGGGCAGAUACGUGGCCGGCGGUGUUGGGAGCCUUCCUCAUCAUUGACUUUGGGUCCAGAGGACAGAGAGGGUGCUGAUCCGGCGAAUUUAGCAAGAAAUCCGCAUCCUGGCUGGCAUCGAAGCUACUCUGCCCUUCUCCCCGCCUCCCCAGGCUGGCUCACACACCCACUUCCAUCCAGUGGUUGGAAGAAACAGAUUCCGCGUUCUCUCCUCGUUGCACUACCUGUAGUUUUUUGGGCUUUUGAACAUUGUGUCUCCUCGGCCUUGACGUUGGAGGAUAGAACCGCUCUUAAGAAACUCCCUAACCUGUUACCCUUUUGCCUCCUCCCUCUGGCGGUGAGGAGUUGCUGCUGAGUCCGGUUGGUUGUAACUUAAUCGUCUUCCACUAGAACCGGGAUUCUCCUCCACCGAUCUGGUGAAACUUGAGCAGAGAUAAGAAAGCUUCUUCCUCGUGAGUCUCCCCGCUUGCUCUGCUUCUCCCUUUAUUACACGGAGAUGCUUGGUUCACUCGACUGGAAACUCAAGGCUUGGUCCCUUUAGGCCUCCUCUUUCUGAUUCUCAGUUCCAGAGGCUGACGCCCAAGAAGGAAGAUCCUCAGCCUUGAAGUUUCUUAAAUACUGUGUCUGGUGGAUCCUCUCAAACAUUAUAUAUUAAUGUAUGGUAAGUACAUAAAAAUAUUGCAUUGGGAAGAGUGAUGGUGAAUUGAGGACCUCGGUAACAGCAUUGUGGGCAGCCAAUUAAGCCAGCACUUGGGGUUCCUGCCUCACUGAGGCUUAUCUGAGGCUUAGGCUUCACU
Long non-coding RNA from Ochotona curzoniae (black-lipped pika), 1242 nucleotides. RefSeq lists it as uncharacterized. Lineage: Eukaryota; Metazoa; Chordata; Mammalia; Lagomorpha; Ochotonidae. The record is from RefSeq and is a predicted model, not a curated record. The transcript is spliced from 3 exons.